UACGUAGGAUCCAAGCGUUAUCCGGAAUCACUGGGCGUAAAGCGUGUGUAGGCGGCGCGUUAAGUGGGAUGCGAAAUCCGGUGGCUCAACCAUCUGGACUGUGUCCCAUACUGGCGUGCUUGAGGAUGGCAGAGGCAAGUGGAAUUACGGGUGUAGCAGUGAAAUGCGUAGAUAUCCGUAGGAACACCAAUGGCGAAGGCAGCUUGCUGGGCCACACCUGACGCUGAGACACGAAAGCGUGGGGAGCGAACAGG
This 254-nucleotide ribosomal RNA is filed under the name uncultured bacterium. RNAcentral describes it as "partial 16S ribosomal RNA". It matches the Rfam family "Bacterial small subunit ribosomal RNA", at positions 524 to 776 of the family's 1533-position model. The record is from RNAcentral.